AACACAUGCAAGUCGAGGGGCAGCAUUUUUCAAGCUUGCUUGAAAAGAUGGCGACCGGCGCACGGGUGAGUAACACGUAUCCAACCUACCGUUUACUCUCGGAUAGCCUUCCGAAAGGAAGAUUAAUACGGGAUGGUAUUGAGAUUUCACAUGAUGACUCAAUUAAAGAAUUUCGGUAAACGAUGGGGAUGCGUUCCAUUAGAUAGUAGGCGGGGUAACGGCCCACCUAGUCGACGAUGGAUAGGGGUUCUGAGAGGAAGGUCCCCCACAUUGGAACUGAGACACGGUCCAAACUCCUACGGGAGGCAGCAGUGAGGAAUAUUGGUCAAUGGGCGCGAGCCUGAACCAGCCAAGUAGCGUGAAGGAUGAAGGUCCUAUGGAUUGUAAACUUCUUUUAUACAGGAAUAAAGUGAGGUACGUGUACCUUUUUGUAUGUACUGUAUGAAUAAGCAUCGGCUAACUCCGUGCCAGCAGCCGCGGUAAUACGGAGGAUGCGAGCGUUAUCCGGAUUUAUUGGGUUUAAAGGGAGCGCAGACGGUUCGUUAAGUCAGUUGUGAAAGUUUGGGGCUCAACCUUAAAAUUGCAAUUGAUACUGGCGGACUUGAGUGCAGAUGAGGUAGGCGGAAUUCGUGGUGUAGCGGUGAAAUGCUUAGAUAUCACGAAGAACUCCGAUUG
RNAcentral lists this ribosomal RNA (675 nucleotides) under uncultured Bacteroidales bacterium. Its description in RNAcentral is "bacterial SSU rRNA". It matches the Rfam family "Bacterial small subunit ribosomal RNA", at positions 50 to 715 of the family's 1533-position model. The record is from RNAcentral. Lineage: Bacteria; Pseudomonadati; Bacteroidota; Bacteroidia; Bacteroidales.